This 253-nucleotide ribosomal RNA is filed under the name uncultured bacterium. Its description in RNAcentral is "partial 16S ribosomal RNA". It matches the Rfam family "Bacterial small subunit ribosomal RNA", at positions 524 to 776 of the family's 1533-position model. The record is from RNAcentral.
UACAGAGGGGGCAAGCGUUGUUCGGAUUUACUGGGCGUAAAGCGCACGUAGGCGGAUCGUUAAGUGAGGGGUGAAAUCCCAGGGCUCAACCCUGGAACUGCCUUUCAUACUGGCGAUCUUGAGUCCGGAAGAGGUGAGUGGAACUCCUAGUGUAGAGGUGGAAUUCGUAGAUAUUAGGAAGAACACCAGUGGCGAAGGCGGCUCACUGGUCCGGUACUGACGCUGAGGUGCGAAAGCGUGGGGAGCAAACAGG